RNAcentral lists this ribosomal RNA (484 nucleotides) under uncultured bacterium. Its description in RNAcentral is "partial 16S ribosomal RNA". It matches the Rfam family "Bacterial small subunit ribosomal RNA", at positions 28 to 523 of the family's 1533-position model. The record is from RNAcentral.
GACGAACGCUGGCGGCGUGCUUAACACAUGCAAGUCGAACGAUGAAGCCGGAGCUUGCCCUGGUGAAUUAGUGGCGAACGGGUGAGUAACACGUGAGUAACCUGCCCUUGACUCUGGGAUAACUGCGGGAAGCUGUAGCUAAUACCGGAUACGACCCUCGGAGGCAUCUCCUGGGGGUGGAAAGAAUUUGGGUCAAGGAUGGACUCGCGGCCUAUCAGCUAGUUGGUGAGGUAAAGGCUGACCAAGGCGACGACGGGUAGCCGGCCUGAGAGGGUGACCGGCCACACUGGGACUGAGACACGGCCCAGACUCCUACGGGAGGCAGCAGUGGGGAAUAUUGCACAAUGGGCGCAAGCCUGAUGCAGCAACGCCGCGUGAGGGAUGACGGCCUUCGGGUUGUAAACCUCUUUUAGCAGGGAAGAAGCGAAAGUGACGGUACCUGCAGAAAAAGCACCGGCUAACUACGUGCCAGCAGCCGCCGCCG